UACGUAGGCAGCGAGCGUUGUUCGGAGUUACUGGGCGUAAAGAGUGCGUAGGCGGUUUUCUAAGUUUGGUGUGAAAUCUCCCGGCUUAACUGGGAGGGUGCGCCGAAAACUGGAAGGCUUGAGUAUGGGAGAGGUAAGCGGAAUUCCUGGUGUAGCGGUGAAAUGCGUAGAUAUCAGGAGGAACACCUGCGGUGUAGACGGCUUACUGGACCAUAACUGACGCUGAGGCACGAAAGCGUGGGUAGCAAACAGG
RNAcentral lists this ribosomal RNA (253 nucleotides) under uncultured bacterium. Its description in RNAcentral is "partial 16S ribosomal RNA". It matches the Rfam family "Bacterial small subunit ribosomal RNA", at positions 524 to 776 of the family's 1533-position model. RNAcentral also lists the same sequence under 1 other name. The record is from RNAcentral.